This 253-nucleotide ribosomal RNA is filed under the name uncultured bacterium. RNAcentral describes it as "partial 16S ribosomal RNA". It matches the Rfam family "Bacterial small subunit ribosomal RNA", at positions 524 to 776 of the family's 1533-position model. The record is from RNAcentral.
GACGAACCGUGCGAACGUUGUUCGGAAUCACUGGGCUUAAAGGGCGCGUAGGCGGGCCGGUAAGUCCGGGGUGAAAUCCUGCAGCUCAACUGCAGAAGUGCCUCGGAUACUGCCGGCCUCGAGGGAGGUAGGGGCAUGUGGAACUUCCGGUGGAGCGGUGAAAUGCGUAGAUAUCGGAAGGAACGCCGGUGGCGAAAGCGACGUGCUGGACCUCUACUGACGCUGAGGCGCGAAAGCCAGGGGAGCAAACGGG